Molecule: unclassified non-coding RNA, 225 nt
Filed under: soil metagenome
Description: partial internal transcribed spacer 1
Source: RNAcentral
CCGAAAUUUAAAACUCACAACGCGAGUCUCGUGCGGAAGCAAAUAUGACUGCCGAGACUUUGUGACUCUUCAAGUCUUCCUUUGCUCAAGUCAAACCACACUCGUGAAGCACAUGUGACGAGUCUGUGGUGAGCAUCGGGAGCACUGCGUUUCCUUCGGGAUUCACAGUCUAAAAAACGAAUUGUGAAAGUAUAUUAGUAUAUAUAACAAAAAAGACGAAAAAAU